AUACGGAGGGUGCAAGCGUUAUUCGGAAUCACUGGGCGUAAAGGACGCGUAGGCGGGUUGGUAAGUCAGAUGUGAAAUCCUACAGCUUAACUGUAGAACUGCAUUUGAAACUGCUAACCUAGAGUAUGGGAGGGGGAGAUGGAAUUAGUGGUGUAGGGGUAAAAUCCGUAGAUAUCACUAGGAAUACCGAAAGCGAAGGCGAUCUCCUGGAACAUAACUGACGCUAAGGCGUGAAAGCGUGGGGAGCAAACAGGAUUAGAUACCCUAGUAGUCC
Molecule: ribosomal RNA, 274 nt
Filed under: uncultured bacterium
Lineage: Bacteria
Description: partial 16S ribosomal RNA
Rfam family: Bacterial small subunit ribosomal RNA
Source: RNAcentral